GCGACACUUUCGCAAGCCGCACGAGAAAGAGCAAUAACAGGUCUGUGAUGCCCUUAGAUGUACGGGGCUGCACGCGUGCUACACUGACGGCGUCAGCGUGCGUUCAAGCCCGGCCUGGCAAGGCCAGGAAAUCGGUUGAAACGUUCUCGUGGCUGGGACAGAGAAUUGCAAUUAUUUCCCUCGAACGAGGAAUUCCCAGUAAGCGCGAGUCAUCAGCUUGCGUUGACUACGUCCCUGCCCUUUGUACACACCGCCCGUCGCUACUACCGAUUGGAUGACUUAGUGAGGCCUUUGGACCGAUGCCGCCGGUGUUCGGCCG
RNAcentral lists this ribosomal RNA (319 nucleotides) under Trichuris trichiura (human whipworm). RNAcentral describes it as "partial 18S ribosomal RNA". It matches the Rfam family "Eukaryotic small subunit ribosomal RNA", at positions 1423 to 1743 of the family's 1831-position model. Lineage: Eukaryota; Metazoa; Nematoda; Enoplea; Trichinellida; Trichuridae. The record is from RNAcentral.